CUCCCUACAUCAUUCUCUGUUCUUUCCUCUUCUUCAUCCUCCUCCUCCUCAUCCUCCUCCUCUAUGCUCUCCUCUAGUUUUGAAAGUGGGAAACGGCCAUUACCAGCCCCAAAUCCAAAUUGGACAGGUUCUUCUGUUGACAUCUUAGAGGUAAAGUAAAAUUCUGUUUCUUCAUAGUCUAUAUCAAAUUGAAAUUCCUCAUCUCCCAAAUCAGUUCCGGGGGACAAUGCCUCUCUCUCUGCAAUCAACCUCCUUGCCUCAAUACAUACAACCUCAAGUUCACUGGGUUCC
Molecule: unclassified non-coding RNA, 291 nt
Filed under: Hevea brasiliensis (rubber tree)
Lineage: Eukaryota; Viridiplantae; Streptophyta; Magnoliopsida; Malpighiales; Euphorbiaceae
Source: RNAcentral